RNAcentral lists this ribosomal RNA (262 nucleotides) under uncultured bacterium. RNAcentral's name for it is "partial 16S ribosomal RNA". It matches the Rfam family "Bacterial small subunit ribosomal RNA", at positions 94 to 353 of the family's 1533-position model. The record is from RNAcentral.
AGUGGCGGACGGGUGAGUAACGCGUGGGUAACCUACCCUGUACAGGGGGAUAACAGUCAGAAAUGACUGCUAAUACCGCAUAAGACCACAGCACCGCAUGGUGCAGGGGUAAAAACUACCGGUGGUACAGGAUGGACCCGCGUCUGAUUAGCUGGUUGGUGAGGUAACGGCCCACCAAGGCGACGAUCAGUAGCCGACCUGAGAGGGUGACCGGCCACAUUGGGACUGAGACACGGCCCAAACUCCUACGGGAGGCAGCAUG